This 425-nucleotide ribosomal RNA is filed under the name uncultured bacterium. RNAcentral describes it as "bacterial SSU rRNA". It matches the Rfam family "Bacterial small subunit ribosomal RNA", at positions 356 to 773 of the family's 1533-position model. The record is from RNAcentral.
GGGGAAUAUUGCACAAUGGGCGCAAGCCUGAUGCAGCCAUGCCGCGUGUAUGAAGAAGGCCUUCGGGUUGUAAAGUACUUUCAGCGAGGAGGAAGGCGUUGUAGUUAAUAGCUGCAGCGAUUGACGUUACUCGCAGAAGAAGCACCGGCUAACUCCGUGCCAGCAGCCGCGGUAAUACGGAGGGUGCAAGCGUUAAUCGAAAUUACUGGGCGUAAAGCGCACGCAGGCGGUCUGUCAAGUCGGAUGUGAAAUCCCCGGGCUCAACCUGGGAACUGCAUUCGAAACUGGCAGGCUAGAGUCUUGUAGAGGGGGGUAGAAUUCCAGGUGUAGCGGCGAAAUGCGUAGAGAUCUGGAGGAAUACCGGUGGCGAAGGCGGCCCCCUGGACAAAGACUGACGCUCAGGUGCGAAAGCGUGGGGAGCAAAC